CCGAAGUUGAAGGCGCACCUCCCCUUCCCGGGAAGGACGACGGUUCCCCAAAAGAGGCGGAGGGUAGUCUCUCAUCUGAACCAGGCGCUUUAAUGCCUGCCUGAAGCCACCGCGGCCAGCGUGGAGACCACGCAGCGGGCGGGCGGCUGCAAGCCCUGGGCUCCGAGCGCCUCUCCUGUGCGGGUCCCGCCCCCCUCCCCGCAUUCCUCUCGUUCUGCUCCCGAGCCCAGGCCACGCUGAAGGAAGUACUUGGGCAGUCUCUUUCCUGGAGAACGGGCCCGCCGGUUCCGGAAGCCUCUCCUACCCCCAGGCUGGUCACCUCGGACUACCGACCCGGGACAAGAAGUCCAAGCAGACUGCGGCGGAGGCUGGAAUGCUACAACUACAUUCUCCAAGACUACCUUGUAGCUAGUUUCUGCAUGUGACCUAGCUAUCACCAAGAAGACAUAUUGCUUGAGACUAGGAGGCAGAGAUGCUAAAUGUGAAUGAUAGCUCUGCAGAGAGAGAGAUCAGAUCUUGCAAGUGCAGAGAACAAGACACCUGGAUUUCCUGGGACAGCUGCUCUGGGGAUUUUGGAUUCCAAAGGCCAGUUCUCUUGUCUUUCCAGAAAUUCUUACAAGAUAGUUGGCAGUCAUCCAUAAUCUCAGGAGAAGACAGCAAACUGGCCAAAAAGCAAAAGCAGAUGAGUCUCAUCCUGUUGCCCAGGCUGCA
This 711-nucleotide long non-coding RNA is filed under the name Homo sapiens (human). RNAcentral's name for it is "HSALNT0329184". The record is from RNAcentral. Lineage: Eukaryota; Metazoa; Chordata; Mammalia; Primates; Hominidae.